RNAcentral lists this ribosomal RNA (431 nucleotides) under uncultured bacterium. RNAcentral's name for it is "partial 16S ribosomal RNA". It matches the Rfam family "Bacterial small subunit ribosomal RNA", at positions 29 to 507 of the family's 1533-position model. The record is from RNAcentral.
AACGAACGCUGGCGGCAGGCUUAACACAUGCAAGUCGAGCGCCCCGCAAGGGGAGCGGCAGACGGGUGAGUAACGCGUGGGAACGUACCCUUAUCUUCGGGAAAGCUCCGGGAAACUGGAAUUAAUACCGAAUGUGCCCUUUGGGGGAAAGAUUUAUCGGAUAAGGAUCGGCCCGCGUUGGAUUAGCUAGUUGGUGGGGUAAAGGCCUACCAAGGCGACGAUCCAUAGCUGGUCUGAGAGGAUGAUCAGCCACAUUGGGACUGAGACACGGCCCAAACUCCUACGGGAGGCAGCAGUGGGGAAUAUUGGACAAUGGGCGCAAGCCUGAUCCAGCCAUGCCGCGUGAGUGAUGAAGGCCUUAGGGUUGUAAAGCUCUUUCACCGGAGAAGAUAAUGACGGUAUCCGGAGAAGAAGCCCCGGCUAACUUCGUG